UUAGAGUUUGAUCCUGGCUCAGGACGAACGCUAGCGGCAGGCUUAACACAUGCAAGUCGAGGGGCAUAGUAGCAAUACUAGAGACCGGCGCACGGGUGCGUAACGCGUAUGCAAUCUACCUUUCACAAAGGGAUAGCCCAGAGAAAUUUGGAUUAAUACCUUAUAGUAUAGCGACUUCGCAUGGAGAUGUUAUUAAAGAUUUAUCGGUGAAGGAUGAGCAUGCGUCCCAUUAGCUAGUUGGUAAGGUAACGGCUUACCAAGGCUACGAUGGGUAGGGGUCCUGAGAGGGAGAUCCCCCACACUGGUACUGAGACACGGACCAGACUCCUACGGGAGGCAGCAGUGAGGAAUAUUGGUCAAUGGGUGCUUUCCUGAACCAGCCAUGCCGCGUGCAGGAUGUCGGUCCUAUGGAUUGUAAACUGCUUUUGUACAGGAAGAAACACUCCCUCGUGAGGGAGCUUGACGGUACUGUAAGAAUAAGGAUCGGCUAACUCCGUGCCAGCAGCCGCGGUAAUACGGAGGAUCCAAGCGUUAUCCGGAAUCAUUGGGUUUAAAGGGUCCGUAGGCGGCUUAAUAAGUCAGUGGUGAAAGCCCUACGCUUAACGUAGGAACGGCCAUUGAUACUGUUAGGCUUGAAUUAUUAGGAAGUAACUAGAAUAUGUAGUGUAGCGG
Molecule: ribosomal RNA, 672 nt
Filed under: uncultured Bacteroidota bacterium
Lineage: Bacteria; Pseudomonadati; Bacteroidota
Description: bacterial SSU rRNA
Rfam family: Bacterial small subunit ribosomal RNA
Source: RNAcentral